GCCUGGGUGGCUCAGUCGCUUAAGCAUCUGACUUCAGCUCAGGUCAUGAUCUUACGGUUCAUGGGUUCGAGUCCCACAUCAGGCU
Transfer RNA from Felis catus (domestic cat), 85 nucleotides. It matches the Rfam family "tRNA". From Rfam's summary of the family: Transfer RNA (tRNA) molecules are approximately 80 nucleotides in length. Their secondary structure includes four short double-helical elements and three loops (D, anti-codon, and T loops). NCBI's taxonomy places the organism in Eukaryota, Metazoa, Chordata, Mammalia, Carnivora, Felidae. The record is from Rfam.